RNAcentral lists this ribosomal RNA (301 nucleotides) under Pseudomonas viridiflava. RNAcentral describes it as "bacterial LSU rRNA". It matches the Rfam family "Bacterial large subunit ribosomal RNA", at positions 81 to 430 of the family's 2925-position model. The record is from RNAcentral. Lineage: Bacteria; Pseudomonadati; Pseudomonadota; Gammaproteobacteria; Pseudomonadales; Pseudomonadaceae.
GGGAGUCGGCAAACAGACUGUGAUCCGGAGAUGUCUGAAUGGGGGAACCCAGCUGUCAUAAGACAGUUACCUUACACUGAAUACAUAGGUGUACGGAGCGAACCAGGGGAACUGAAACAUCUAAGUACCCUGAGGAAAAGAAAUCAACCGAGAUUCCCUUAGUAGUGGCGAGCGAACGGGGACCAGCCCUUAAGUUGGAUCGAGAUUAGCGGAACGCUCUGGAAAGGGCGGCCAUAGUGGGUGAUAGCCCUGUACGCGAAAGUCUCUUUGCAAUGAAAUCGAGUAGGACGGGGCACGAGAA